CAGACGGGUGAGUAACAUGUGGGUAUCUGCCCUUUGGCCUGGAAUAACACGAGGAAACUUGUGCUAAUACCGGAUAAGUCUUUACGGAGAAAGCUUUAUGCACCAUUGGAUGAGCCCGCACUUGAUUAGUUUGUUGGUGGGGUUAUGGCCUACCAAGACUUUGAUCAAUAGCUGAUUUGAGAGGAUGAUCAGCCACAUUGGGACUGAGACACGGCCCAAACUCCUACGGGAGGCAGCAGUGGGGAAUCUUGCACAAUGGAGGAAACUCUGAUGCAGCGAUGCCGCGUGAGUGAAGAAGGCCUUUGGGUUGUAAAGCUCUUUCGUCGGGGAAGAAAAUGACUGUACCCGAAUAAGAAGGUCCGGCUAACUUCGUGCCAGCAGCCGCGGUAAUACGAAGGGACCUAGCGUAGUUCGGAAUUACUGGGCUUAAAGAGUUCGUAGGUGGUUGAAAAGUUGGUGGUGAAAUCCCAGAGCUUAACUCUGGAACUGCCAUCAAAACUUUUCAGCUAGAGUAUGAUAGAGGAAAGCAGAAUUUCUAGUGUAGAGGUGAAAUUCGUAGAUAUUAGAAAGAAUACCAAUUGCGAAGGCAGCUUUCUGGAUCAUUACUGACACUGAGGAACGAAAGCAUGGGUAGCGAAGAGGAUUAGAUACCCUCGUAGUCCAUGCCGUAAACGAUGUGUGU
RNAcentral lists this ribosomal RNA (682 nucleotides) under uncultured bacterium. Its description in RNAcentral is "bacterial SSU rRNA". It matches the Rfam family "Bacterial small subunit ribosomal RNA", at positions 99 to 816 of the family's 1533-position model. The record is from RNAcentral.